UACGUAGGGGGCAAGCGUUGUCCGGAAUCAUUGGGCGUAAAGAGCUCGUAGGCGGUUCAGUAAGUCAGGUGUGAAAGCUCCGAGCUCAACUCGGAGAGGCCACCUGAUACUGCUGUGACUAGAAUCCAGUAGGGGAGUGUGGAACUCCUGGUGUAGCGGUGAAAUGCGCAGAUAUCAGGAAGAACACCAGCGGCGAAGGCGGCACUCUGGGCUGGAAUUGACGCUGAGGAGCGAAAGUGUGGGUAGCAAACAGGAUUAGAUACCCUGGUAGUCCACACCGUAAACGUUGGGCACUAGGUGUGGGGAGGAUCAACCCUUUCCGUGCCGUAGCUAACGCAUUAAGUGCCCCGCCUGGGGAGUACGGCCGCAAGGCUA
Molecule: ribosomal RNA, 375 nt
Filed under: uncultured prokaryote
Description: bacterial SSU rRNA
Rfam family: Bacterial small subunit ribosomal RNA
Source: RNAcentral